AUUGAACGCUGGCGGCAUGCCUUACACAUGCAAGUCGAACGGCAUCGCGGGAAAGCUUGCUUUCCUGGCGGCGAGUGGCGAACGGGUGAGUAACACAUCGGAACGUACCGGCUAGUGGGGGAUAACCCGUCGAAAGACGGGCUAAUACCGCAUACGCUCUUCGGAGGAAAGCAGGGGACCUUUGGGCCUUGCGCUAGUCGAGCGGCCGAUGUCCGAUUAGCUAGUUGGUGGGGUAAAGGCCUACCAAGGCGACGAUCGGUAGCGGGUCUGAGAGGACGAUCCGCCACACUGGGACUGAGACACGGCCCAGACUCCUACGGGAGGCAGCAGUGGGGAAUCUUGGACAAUGGGGGCAACCCUGAUCCAGCAAUGCCGCGUGGGUGAAGAAGCCCUUCGGGUUGUAAAGCCCUUUCGGCAGGGAAGAAAUCGGCGGGGCGAAUAACCCUGCUGGAUGACGGUACCUGCAGAAGAAGCACCGGCUAACUACGUG
RNAcentral lists this ribosomal RNA (490 nucleotides) under uncultured bacterium. RNAcentral's name for it is "partial 16S ribosomal RNA". It matches the Rfam family "Bacterial small subunit ribosomal RNA", at positions 29 to 507 of the family's 1533-position model. The record is from RNAcentral.